This 410-nucleotide ribosomal RNA is filed under the name uncultured bacterium. Its description in RNAcentral is "bacterial SSU rRNA". It matches the Rfam family "Bacterial small subunit ribosomal RNA", at positions 32 to 453 of the family's 1533-position model. The record is from RNAcentral.
AAUCAACGCUGGCGGCGUGCCUAACACAUGCAAGUCGAACGAGAAAGUGGAGCAAUCCAUGAGUAAAGUGGCGCACGGGUGAGUAACACGUGACUAACCUACCCUUGAGUGGGGGAUAACCUAGGGAAACCUGGGCUAAUACCGCAUAAUACCUACGGGUCAAAGGAGCAAUUCGCUUUGGGAGGGGGUCGCGGCCGAUUAGUUAGUUGGCAGGGUAAUGGCCUACCAAGACGAUGAUCGGUACCGGCCUGAGAGGGCGCACGGACACACUGGAACUGAAACACGGUCCAGACUCCUACGGGAGGCAGCAGUGGGGAAUUUUGCGCAAUGGGGGAAACCCUGACGCAGCAACGCCGCGUGGAGGAUGAAGUCCCUUGGGACGUAAACUCCUUUCGAUCGGGACGAUAAUG